UGGGGAAUAUUGGACAAUGGGCGAAAGCCUGAUCCAGCCAUGCCGCGUGGAUGAUGAAGGCCUUAGGGUUGUAAAAUCCUUUCACCGGAGAAGAUAAUGACGGUAUCCGGAGAAGAAGCCCCGGCUAACUUCGUGCCAGCAGCCGCGGUAAUACGAAGGGGGCUAGCGUUGCUCGGAAUUACUGGGCGUAAAGCGCACGUAGGCGGGUUAUUAAGUCGGGGGUGAAAGCCCACAGCUCAACUGUGGAACUGCCUUCGAUACUGGUAACCUAGACCAAAGUAGAGGCAGGUGGAAUUCCGAGUGUAGAGGUGGAAUUCGUAGAUAUUCGGAGGAACACCAGUGGCGAAGGCGGCCUGCUGGACUUUUGGUGACGCUGAGGUGCGAAAGCGUGGGGAGCAAA
RNAcentral lists this ribosomal RNA (400 nucleotides) under uncultured bacterium. Its description in RNAcentral is "bacterial SSU rRNA". It matches the Rfam family "Bacterial small subunit ribosomal RNA", at positions 355 to 772 of the family's 1533-position model. The record is from RNAcentral.